CCUACGGGGGGCAGCAGUGAGGAAUAUUGGUCAAUGGACGAGAGUCUGAACCAGCCAAGUAGCGUGAAGGAUGACUGCCCUAUGGGUUGUAAACUUCUUUUAUAUAGGAAUAAAAUGAGGCAUGUGUGCCUUUUUGUAUGUACUUUAUGAAUAAGGAUCGGCUAACUCCGUGCCAGCAGCCGCGGUAAUACGGAGGAUCCGAGCGUUAUCCGGAUUUAUUGGGUUUAAAGGGAGCGUAGGUGGGUUGUUAAGUCAGUUGUGAAAGUUUGCGGCUCAACCGUAAAAUUGCAGUUGAUACUGGCAGUCUUGAGUGCAGUUGAGGUAGGCGGAAUUCGUGGUGUAGCGGUGAAAUGCUUAGAUAUCACGAAGAACCCCGAUUGCGAAGGCAGCUUACUGGACUGUAACUGACGUUGAUGCUCGAAAGUGUGGGUAUCAAACAGGAUUAGAUACCCUUGUAGUC
Molecule: ribosomal RNA, 460 nt
Filed under: uncultured bacterium
Lineage: Bacteria
Description: partial 16S ribosomal RNA
Rfam family: Bacterial small subunit ribosomal RNA
Source: RNAcentral